This 618-nucleotide ribosomal RNA is filed under the name Anabaena sp. 201. RNAcentral's name for it is "bacterial SSU rRNA". It matches the Rfam family "Bacterial small subunit ribosomal RNA", at positions 36 to 698 of the family's 1533-position model. Lineage: Bacteria; Bacillati; Cyanobacteriota; Cyanophyceae; Nostocales; Nostocaceae. The record is from RNAcentral.
CAUACCGGAAGCUUACACAUGCAAGUCGAACGGUCUCUUCGGAGAUAGUCGGCGGACGGGUGAGUAACGCGUGAGAAUCAGGCUUCAGGUCGGGGACAACCACUGGAAACGGUGGCUAAUACCGGAUGUGCCGAAAGGUGAAAGAUUUAUUGCCUGAAGAUGAGCUCGCGUCUGAUUAGCUAGUAGGAAGUGUAAGAGACUACCUAGGCGACGAUCAGUAGCUGGUCUGAGAGGAUGAUCAGCCACACUGGGACUGAGACACGGCCCAGACUCCUACGGGAGGCAGCAGUGGGGAAUUUUCCGCAAUGGGCGAAAGCCUGACGGAGCAAUACCGCGUGAGGGAGGAAGGCUCUUGGGUUGUAAACCUCUUUUCUCAGGGAAGAACAAAAUGACGGUACCUGAGGAAUAAGCAUCGGCUAACUCCGUGCCAGCAGCCGCGGUAAUACGGAGGAUGCAAGCGUUAUCCGGAAUGAUUGGGCGUAAAGCGUCCGCAGGUGGCAGUGUAAGUCUGCUGUUAAAGAGUGAGGCUUAACCUCAUAAAAGCAGUGGAAACUACACAGCUAGAGUACGUUCGGGGCAGAGGGAAUUCCUGGUGUAGCGGUGAAAUGCGUAGAAAUA